This is a transfer RNA of Ovis aries (sheep), 72 nucleotides long. It matches the Rfam family "tRNA". Rfam says of the family: Transfer RNA (tRNA) molecules are approximately 80 nucleotides in length. Their secondary structure includes four short double-helical elements and three loops (D, anti-codon, and T loops). Further hydrogen bonds mediate the characteristic L-shaped molecular structure. tRNAs have two regions of fundamental functional importance: the anti-codon, which is responsible for specific mRNA codon recognition, and the 3' end, to which the tRNAs corresponding amino acid is attached (by aminoacyl-tRNA synthetases). tRNAs cope with the degeneracy of the genetic code in two manners: having more than one tRNA (with a specific anti-codon) for a particular amino acid; and 'wobble' base-pairing, i.e. permitting non-standard base-pairing at the 3rd anti-codon position. The record is from Rfam. NCBI's taxonomy places the organism in Eukaryota, Metazoa, Chordata, Mammalia, Artiodactyla, Bovidae.
UCCCUGGUGGCUCAGCUGGUAAAGAAUCUGCCUGCAACGCGGAAGACCUGGGUUCGAUCCCUGGGUUGGGAA